This 462-nucleotide ribosomal RNA is filed under the name Carnobacterium gallinarum. Its description in RNAcentral is "bacterial SSU rRNA". It matches the Rfam family "Bacterial small subunit ribosomal RNA", at positions 24 to 466 of the family's 1533-position model. The record is from RNAcentral. Lineage: Bacteria; Bacillati; Bacillota; Bacilli; Lactobacillales; Carnobacteriaceae.
UCAGGACGAACGCUGGCGGCGUGCCUAAUACAUGCAAGUCGAACGCACGAAGUUGAAGAGCUUGCUCUUUAACCAAGUGAGUGGCGGACGGGUGAGUAACACGUGGGUAACCUGCCCAUUAGAGGGGGAUAACAUUCGGAAACGGAUGCUAAUACCGCAUAGUUUCAGGAAUCGCAUGAUUCUUGAAGGAAAGGUGGCUUCGGCUACCACUAAUGGAUGGACCCGCGGCGUAUUAGCUAGUUGGUGAGGUAAUGGCUCACCAAGGCAAUGAUACGUAGCCGACCUGAGAGGGUGAUCGGCCACACUGGGACUGAGACACGGCCCAGACUCCUACGGGAGGCAGCAGUAGGGAAUCUUCCGCAAUGGACGAAAGUCUGACGGAGCAACGCCGCGUGAGUGAAGAAGGUUUUCGGAUCGUAAAACUCUGUUGUUAAAGAAGAACAAGGAUGAGAGUAACUGCUC